CGUUUGUCACCUUGCAAUAAAUAACAGUGAACUCGGUCAGGCCCGGAAGGGAGCAGCCGCAGCUGUGAUUUUAUGUGUGAGGAACGGCUGGCGGGA
Molecule: signal recognition particle RNA, 96 nt
Filed under: Marinicella litoralis
Lineage: Bacteria; Pseudomonadati; Pseudomonadota; Gammaproteobacteria; Lysobacterales; Marinicellaceae
Description: Bacterial small signal recognition particle RNA
Rfam family: Bacterial small signal recognition particle RNA
About the family: The signal recognition particle (SRP) is a universally conserved ribonucleoprotein involved in the co-translational targeting of proteins to membranes. Archaeal SRP consists of a 7S RNA and homologues of the eukaryotic SRP19 and SRP54 proteins. In most bacteria, the SRP consists of a 4.5S RNA and the Ffh protein (a homologue of the eukaryotic SRP54 protein).
Source: Rfam by way of RNAcentral